RNAcentral lists this non-coding RNA (77 nucleotides) under Providencia alcalifaciens. Lineage: Bacteria; Pseudomonadati; Pseudomonadota; Gammaproteobacteria; Enterobacterales; Morganellaceae. The record is from RNAcentral.
GAGAGCCGAAUGCGCUAAAAGGUACAUGUCCGGUUCGGAAAGGCUGGAAAAUAGUCCGGCUACGCGCUGCCUAUUAC